ACGGGAGGCAGCAGUGGGGAAUAUUGCACAAUGGGCGCAAGCCUGAUGCAGCGAUGCCGCGUGAGGGAAGAAGGUUUUCGGAUUUUAAACCUCUGUCAUCGGGGACGAUAAUUACUGUACCCGAGAAGGAAGCUCCGUCUAACUACGUGCCAGCAGCCGCGGUAAUACGUAGGGAGCGAGCGUUAUCCGGAAUUACUGGGUGUAAAGGGAGUGUAGGCGGGACUUUAAGUCAGAUGUGAAAUAUACCGGCUCAACGGGUAGACUGCAUUUGAAACUGCGGUUCUUGAGUGAAGUAGAGGUAAGCGGAAUUCCUAGUGUAGCGGUGAAAUGCGUAGAUAUUAGGAGGAACAUCAGUGGCGAAGGCAGCUUACUGGGCUUUAACUGACGCUGAGGCUCGAAAGCGUGGGGAGCAAACAGGAUUAGAUACCCUGGUA
This 434-nucleotide ribosomal RNA is filed under the name uncultured Ruminococcus sp. RNAcentral's name for it is "partial 16S ribosomal RNA". It matches the Rfam family "Bacterial small subunit ribosomal RNA", at positions 341 to 792 of the family's 1533-position model. Lineage: Bacteria; Bacillati; Bacillota; Clostridia; Eubacteriales; Oscillospiraceae. The record is from RNAcentral.